RNAcentral lists this non-coding RNA (21 nucleotides) under Caenorhabditis elegans. Lineage: Eukaryota; Metazoa; Nematoda; Chromadorea; Rhabditida; Rhabditidae. The record is from RNAcentral.
UGGUACGCGCCAAUUACAUAC